Molecule: ribosomal RNA, 439 nt
Filed under: uncultured bacterium
Lineage: Bacteria
Description: partial 16S ribosomal RNA
Rfam family: Bacterial small subunit ribosomal RNA
Source: RNAcentral
CCUACGGGGGGCUGCAGUGGGGGAUAUUGCACAAUGGGGGGAACCCUGAUGCAGCGACGCCGCGUGGGUGAAGGAGCGUUUCGGCGCGUAAAGCCCUAUCGGCAGGGAAGAAGAUGACGGUACCUGACCCAGAAGCCCCGGCUAACUACGUGCCAGCAGCCGCGUUAAUACGGAGGAUGCGAGCGUUAUCCGGAUUUAUUGGGUUUAAAGUGUGCGUAGGCGGACAGUAAAGUCAGUGGUAAAAAUGCGGUGCGAAACGCCGUACAGCCGUUGAAACUGGCAGUCUUGAGUGGGCGAGAAGUAUGCGGAAUGCGUGGUGUAGCGGUGAAAUGCAUAGAUAUCACGCAGAACUCCGAUUGCGAAGGCAGCAUACCGGCGCCCUACUGACGCUGAGGCACGAAAGCGUGGGUAUCGAACAGGAUUAGAUACCCUGGUAGUC